Molecule: ribosomal RNA, 551 nt
Filed under: Penicillium sp. MABC05-30-M2
Lineage: Eukaryota; Fungi; Ascomycota; Eurotiomycetes; Eurotiales; Aspergillaceae
Also listed under: 1 other name
Description: eukaryotic LSU rRNA
Rfam family: 5.8S ribosomal RNA (bases 182-334)
Source: RNAcentral
CAUUACCGAGUGAGGGCCCUCUGGGUCCAACCUCCCACCCGUGUUUAUUUUACCUUGUUGCUUCGGCGGGCCCGCCUUAACUGGCCGCCGGGGGGCUUACGCCCCCGGGCCCGCGCCCGCCGAAGACACCCUCGAACUCUGUCUGAAGAUUGUAGUCUGAGUGAAAAUAUAAAUUAUUUAAAACUUUCAACAACGGAUCUCUUGGUUCCGGCAUCGAUGAAGAACGCAGCGAAAUGCGAUACGUAAUGUGAAUUGCAAAUUCAGUGAAUCAUCGAGUCUUUGAACGCACAUUGCGCCCCCUGGUAUUCCGGGGGGCAUGCCUGUCCGAGCGUCAUUGCUGCCCUCAAGCACGGCUUGUGUGUUGGGCCCCGUCCUCCGAUCCCGGGGGACGGGCCCGAAAGGCAGCGGCGGCACCGCGUCCGGUCCUCGAGCGUAUGGGGCUUUGUCACCCGCUCUGUAGGCCCGGCCGGCGCUUGCCGAUCAACCCGAAUUUUUAUCCAGGUUGACCUCGGAUCAGGUAGGGAUACCCGCUGAACUUAAGCAUAUCAAUA